GAAUGCUUCUGUCAUCUCCAUCAGAUACCAUUACAAAAUCUGUGGCACAAGCAGAGUGUCCAAUACCUUAAAACCUCCGAAAACAUUGCAGAGAAACUUGAAAAGUUGGAAAGUGAAUUUUUAUUCAAUUCAAAUGGGCACGUCCAUGGUCUUCUUCACUAGCAUUCCUCUGAAAUUUUCUCAAAUACCCAGAUCGGUUCGACCACCAAUUCGACCAAACCACCGUCUUCCAUUGGAUUUUAGCGACAAAUUCCAACAUGGGUUUGGACGAAUCCGGUUUUUCAAGGCCAAACCCAGAAGAAAAUUUUGCACAGAGGCUGUGUUAUCUGAAACUCCGAACCAGAAACAGUAUCCAAAGAUAGGUGCCCUAUCUACUGGACCCAUUCCACAUAGUCAUCUAAUUCAGGUGGUUGAGACUGCUGCUAAGACUGGUGCUGAGGUUGUGAUGGAUGCUGUUAAUAAGCCUCGAAACAUAACAUAUAAAGGACUUACGGACUUGGUGACUGAGACAGAUAAAAUGAGUGAGGCUGCUAUUUUGGAAGUAGUUAAAAAGAAUUUUGAAGAUCACCUCAUUCUUGGGGAGGAGGGAGGAAUUAUAGGAGAUACUUCAUCUGAUUAUCUCUGGUGCAUCGAUCCUUUAGAUGGAACGACAAACUUUGCACAUGGUUAUCCUAGUUUUGCAGUUUCUGUUGGAGUUCUGUUUCGAGGGAAUCCUGCCGCCGCUGCUGUGGUGGAGUUUGUUGGGGGCCCUUUCUGUUGGAAUACCCGCAUAUUUUCUGCAACUUCUGGUGGGGGAGCAUUCUGUAAUGGUCAAAGAUUUCACGUGAGUCAAACGAAUCAGGUGGAGCAAUCCCUUCUAGUGACAGGGUUUGGGUAUGAACAUGAUGACGCAUGGGCUACCAACAUCGAUUUAUUUAAAGAAUUUACUGAUGUCAGCCGGGGUGUAAGAAGACUUGGGGCCGCUGCAGUCGACAUGUGCCAUGUAGCUUUGGGGGUUGCAGAAGCUUAUUGGGAGUACCGUCUAAAGCCAUGGGAUAUGGCUGCUGGUGCUUUGAUAGUUGAAGAAGCUGGUGGUGCAGUUACUCGCAUGGAUGGUGGAAAGUUUUGUGUGUUUGAUAGAUCUAUUUUAGUAUCCAAUGGUGUGCUGCAUGAAAAGCUUUUGGAGAGAAUUGGACCUGCAACAGAGAAAUUGAAGAGCAAAGGAAUUGAUUUCUCAUUGUGGUAUAAGCCAGAAAAUUACCUUACAGAUCUUUGAGACAUCCAGAUUUCUGAUUUCUGUUACCAGCUCUACUAGAAAGAUUUCUGCAGCACAGCUUCUGCCGAAUCUUCAUCCGUACAUCAAUGCAAAUACGCGCAAGCGCAAUUGCAGUACACUCGAGCGCACUCACGGCCAUGGCAGCAGUUGAUCUAGUUGAGCGCACCUGCGCUUGACAACUUCAUGCGUCAGCUCAAGCGCACCAGCGCUCAAGGCAGCACCACUGAUGGAUCAGUGCGCCUGUGCUUGAUCCCACCUAGCCUGCACUCGAGUGCACCUCUACAAACACCACCAACAAACUGGCAGUAGCUAAAAAUUGUGCCAACAUUUAUUUUUGGUCAUUUUUGUGAGUUUUUAAGUUUUAGUUUUUAUUUUUUUUGGUCUUGUGUAAGUUGUAAUUUUUUUUUUCUUUUAAAAAAAAUGGUUAAUGGUUUAUGUGGGAUAUUUACAUGU
Corylus avellana is the source of this 1708-nucleotide RNA transcript. It is a transcript of the gene named myo-inositol monophosphatase like 1, with no coding region annotated. NCBI's taxonomy places the organism in Eukaryota, Viridiplantae, Streptophyta, Magnoliopsida, Fagales, Betulaceae. The record is from RefSeq and is a predicted model, not a curated record.